This 253-nucleotide ribosomal RNA is filed under the name uncultured bacterium. RNAcentral describes it as "partial 16S ribosomal RNA". It matches the Rfam family "Bacterial small subunit ribosomal RNA", at positions 524 to 776 of the family's 1533-position model. The record is from RNAcentral.
UACGUAGGGUGCGAGCGUUAAUCGGAAUUACUGGGCGUAAAGCGCGCGCAGGCGGCCCGCGAGGUGUCACGUGAAAGCCCCGGGCUCAACUCGGGAGGGUCGUGGCAAACCGGCGGGCUUGAGGCCGGUAGAGGUGGGUGGAACUCCUGGUGGAGUGGUGAAAUGCGUAGAGAUCAGGAAGAACACCCGUGGCGAAGGCGGCCCACUGGGCCGGUACUGACGCUGAGGCGCGAAGGCGUGGGGAGCGAACGGG